CCUACGGGAGGCUGCAGUGGGGAAUAUUGCACAAUGGGCGCAAGCCUGAUGCAGCCAUGCCGCGUGUGUGAAGAAGGCCUUCGGGUUGUAAAGCACUUUCAGCGGGGAGGAAGGCGGUGAGGUUAAUAACCUCAUCGAUUGACGUUACCCGCAGAAGAAGCACCGGCUAACUCCGUGCCAGCAGCCGCGGUAAUACGGAGGGUGCAAGCGUUAAUCGGAAUUACUGGGCGUAAAGCGCACGCAGGCGGUCUGUCAAGUCGGAUGUGAAAUCCCCGGGCUCAACCAGGGAACUGCAUUCGAAACUGGCAGGCUAGAGUCUUGUAGAGGGGGGUAGAAUUCCAGGUGUAGCGGUGAAAUGCGUAGAGAUCUGGAGGAAUACCGGUGGCGAAGGCGGCCCCCUGGACAAAGACUGACGCUCAGGUGCGAAAGCGUGGGGAGCAAACAGGAUUAGAUACCCGAGUAGUC
RNAcentral lists this ribosomal RNA (465 nucleotides) under uncultured Klebsiella sp. Its description in RNAcentral is "bacterial SSU rRNA". It matches the Rfam family "Bacterial small subunit ribosomal RNA", at positions 338 to 795 of the family's 1533-position model. Lineage: Bacteria; Pseudomonadati; Pseudomonadota; Gammaproteobacteria; Enterobacterales; Enterobacteriaceae. The record is from RNAcentral.